Molecule: ribosomal RNA, 234 nt
Filed under: uncultured bacterium
Lineage: Bacteria
Description: partial 16S ribosomal RNA
Rfam family: Bacterial small subunit ribosomal RNA
Source: RNAcentral
ACGCGAGUGGAUGCCAAUCCUAAACCCCUCUCAGUUCGGACUGGAGUCUGCAACCCGACUCCACGAAGCUGGAUUCGCUAGUAAUCGCGCAUCAGCCACGGCGCGGUGAAUACGUUCCCGGGCCUUGUACACACCGCCCGUCAAGCCAUGGGAGCCGGGGUACCUGAAGUGCGUAACCGCGAGGAUCGCCCUAGGGUAAAACUGGUGACUGGGGCUAAGUCGUAACAAGGUACC